UACGGAGGGUGCAAGCGUUGUCCGGAAUCACUGGGCGUAGAGGGCGCGUAGGCGGCUCGGUAAGUAGGGGGUGAAAUCCUGCGGCUUAACCGCAGGGCUGCCUUCUAAACUGUCGAGCUUGAGCACGGUAGAGGCAGAUGGAAUUCCCGGUGUAGCGGUGGAAUGCGUAGAGAUCGGGAAGAACAUCAGUGGCGAAGGCGGUCUGCUGGGCCGUUGCUGACGCUGAGGCGCGACAGCGUGGGGAGCAAACAGG
Molecule: ribosomal RNA, 253 nt
Filed under: uncultured bacterium
Lineage: Bacteria
Description: partial 16S ribosomal RNA
Rfam family: Bacterial small subunit ribosomal RNA
Source: RNAcentral